This is a small nuclear RNA of Peromyscus leucopus (white-footed mouse), 189 nucleotides long. RefSeq annotates it as U2 spliceosomal RNA. The record is from RefSeq and is a predicted model, not a curated record. NCBI's taxonomy places the organism in Eukaryota, Metazoa, Chordata, Mammalia, Rodentia, Cricetidae. The transcript has a single exon.
ACUCUUCCCACGUGAUUCUCCAUUGUGUCAAGGUGACGUAUCUUUUCUUUCCAGUUUAAUACCUAAGGUGUCCUCUAUCUGAGCAUCAUAUGUUAAAUGGAUGUUUGGAGUUGGGAGAUUGAAUAGGAACUUCUUCUGUCUACUCCAUGCCUGAUUUGGUCUUGUGGUACCAAGAAUGGUAUACCCCUU